Molecule: ribosomal RNA, 253 nt
Filed under: uncultured bacterium
Lineage: Bacteria
Description: partial 16S ribosomal RNA
Rfam family: Bacterial small subunit ribosomal RNA
Source: RNAcentral
UCCGUAGGUGGCAAGCGUUAUCCGGAAUUAUUGGGCGUAAAGCGCGCGCAGGCGGUUUCUUAAGUCUGAUGUGAAAGCCCACGGCUCAACCGUGGAGGGUCAUUGGAAACUGGGAAACUUGAGUGCAGAAGAGAAGAGUGGAAUUCCACGUGUAGCGGUGAAAUGCGUAGAGAUGUGGAGGAACACCAGUGGCGAAGGCGACUCUUUGGUCUGUAACUGACGCUGAGGCGCGAAAGCGUGGGGAGCAAACGGG